CCCUUAGAUGUUCUGGGCCGCACGCGCGCUACACUGAUGCAUUCAACGAGUUUCUUCCUGGUCCGAGAGGAAUGGGUAACCUUUUGAAAGUGCAUCGUGAUAGGGAUAGACUAUUGCAAUUAUUGGUCUUCAACGAGGCAUUCCUAGUAGACGUAGUUCAUCAGACUGCAUCGAUUACGUCCCUGCCCUUUGUACACACCGCCCGUCGCUCCUACCGAUUGAAUGCUCAGGUGAGCCAUUCGGACCUUCAUCAUGCCGGUUUCCGGUUUUGAUGAGGGAAAGUCUUGCGAACCUUAUCAUUUAGAGGAAGGAGAAGUCGUAACA
Molecule: ribosomal RNA, 324 nt
Filed under: uncultured eukaryote
Lineage: Eukaryota
Description: partial 18S ribosomal RNA
Rfam family: Eukaryotic small subunit ribosomal RNA
Source: RNAcentral